RNAcentral lists this long non-coding RNA (886 nucleotides) under Homo sapiens (human). RNAcentral describes it as "HSALNT0155666". The record is from RNAcentral. Lineage: Eukaryota; Metazoa; Chordata; Mammalia; Primates; Hominidae.
CGAAAUGAACUCUGAUUGUGGUCAGCCACUGUCAGUUAGGCAUGAUUUAGUGGAAAAGUGAGCUCAGCCUGGUGGAUUACAAUACAUACGGAACAUUUAUGAGGAUCGAUGUGUCCAAGACCACACCUCAGAGCCGCUCCUUGUUAAGAAUCACCAGCGGCACUUGCUAGAGACGUGGAUUUCUGGGUUCUAGCCCAGAUGUUCUGCCUGGAUUCACAGGGAGAUGAUCCUGGGACUCUGGCUCCAGCAAGUCCCCAGGGGUUCUCAUGCUUGGAGAAGGAGAGCAAUUCUGCUGGAACAGAAUGGGGCACAUGUUAUAAAAAAGACCUGUGCACAAGGGCCCUAGAGGCCAGAUGGAGGUUGGGAGGCCUCAUCAGAGGAAAGGCAGUAUUGAUGUGAUUUAGUGAAAGGGAAAGGCUGUGCAGGAGUGAUGUCAGCAGGACAGUGGCCUAGGGUGCUGUAGACCCUUGCUCCUCUGUGGAAGCACCAGGCGAGGGGCAAUGCAUGGCUCCAGGUCGCCUAGUGGGAACUCCAGGAACUGGUUAAGGAUCUGCAGCAAUCACGCCAACUCCCAAUGAGGACAAAACCACACUCAAAGCAGCAGGAAAUGUUGUGGCAUUUGGCUCACCUCUGCCCCACCUCCUUCCCAGCACGGUCAGGAGGAGGCCACCCUACUCCUGGUACCUCCCUGGGGACACAAGGGAAAGACCGAAACAUGUUUACAGGGUUCUGGCUUGUCUGCGGGCUGCCUGUGGAACUGGUUUCUGUCCCACGCAUCUUGGAGUGUUGAUGCGAAGGGCAGCCUGCUUGGGAUAUCAGGAUGGAGACCCUGGGGGCAGUACUGACUGCUGCCAUAUGUCAGAGCUGCAGGGGGUACCAGGACAAG